AUUGAACGCUGGCGGCAUGCCUUACACAUGCAAGUCGAACGGUAACAGGUCUUCGGAUGCUGACGAGUGGCGAACGGGUGAGUAAUACAUCGGAACGUGCCCGAUCGUGGGGGAUAACGAAGCGAAAGCUUUGCUAAUACCGCAUAAGAUCUACGGAUGAAAGCAGGGGACCGCAAGGCCUUGCGCGAACGGAGCGGCCGAUGGCAGAUUAGGUAGUUGGUGGGAUAAAAGCUUACCAAGCCGACGAUCUGUAGCUGGUCUGAGAGGACGACCAGCCACACUGGGACUGAGACACGGCCCAGACUCCUACGGGAGGCAGCAGUGGGGAAUUUUGGACAAUGGGCGAAAGCCUGAUCCAGCCAUGCCGCGUGCAGGAUGAAGGCCUUCGGGUUGUAAACUGCUUUUGUACGGAACGAAAAGACUCUUUCUAAUAAAGAGGGUCCAUGACGGUACCGUAAGAAUAAGCACCGGCUAACUACGUGCCAGCCGCCGCGGUAA
This 498-nucleotide ribosomal RNA is filed under the name uncultured bacterium. RNAcentral's name for it is "partial 16S ribosomal RNA". It matches the Rfam family "Bacterial small subunit ribosomal RNA", at positions 30 to 523 of the family's 1533-position model. The record is from RNAcentral.